RNAcentral lists this ribosomal RNA (580 nucleotides) under uncultured bacterium. RNAcentral's name for it is "partial 16S ribosomal RNA". It matches the Rfam family "Bacterial small subunit ribosomal RNA", at positions 355 to 930 of the family's 1533-position model. The record is from RNAcentral.
UGGGGAAUUUUGGACAAUGGGCGAAAGCCUGAUCCAGCAAUGCCGCGUGUGUGAAGAAGGCCUUCGGGUUGUAAAGCACUUUUGUCCGGAAAGAAAUCCUUGGCUCUAAUACAGUCGGGGGAUGACGGUACCGGAAGAAUAAGCACCGGCUAACUACGUGCCAGCAGCCGCGGUAAUACGUAGGGUGCAAGCGUUAAUCGGAAUUACUGGGCGUAAAGCGUGCGCAGGCGGUUUGCUAAGACCGAUGUGAAAUCCCCGGGCUCAACCUGGGAACUGCAUUGGUGACUGGCAGGCUAGAGUAUGGCAGAGGGGGGUAGAAUUCCACGUGUAGCAGUGAAAUGCGUAGAGAUGUGGAGGAAUACCGAUGGCGAAGGCAGCCCCCUGGGCCAAUACUGACGCUCAUGCACGAAAGCGUGGGGAGCAAACAGGAUUAGAUACCCUGGUAGUCCACGCCCUAAACGAUGUCAACUAGUUGUUGGGGAUUCAUUUCCUUAGUAACGUAGCUAACGCGUGAAGUUGACCGCCUGGGGAGUACGGUCGCAAGAUUAAAACUCAAGGAAUUGACGGGGUCAUAGCUUCC